UUACUGUGAUGGUUGCAUAGUUCAGAUUGAAUUGUGAAGAGAUACACCAUUUGUCUAAGGUAAAG
Small nucleolar RNA from Diceros bicornis minor, 65 nucleotides. RefSeq annotates it as small nucleolar RNA SNORD77. NCBI's taxonomy places the organism in Eukaryota, Metazoa, Chordata, Mammalia, Perissodactyla, Rhinocerotidae. The record is from RefSeq and is a predicted model, not a curated record. The transcript has a single exon.